UACGUAGGGUGCAAACGUUGUUCGGAGUUACUGGGCGUAAAGCGCGUGUAGGCGGCUCGGAUAGUCGGGUGUGAAAGCCCUGGGCUCAACCCAGGAAGUGCACUCGAUACUGCCGAGCUGGAGUCCCGGAGAGGAUGGCGGAAUUCUCGGUGUAGAGGUGAAAUUCGUAGAUAUCGAGAGGAACACCUGUGGCGAAGGCGGCCUUCUGGACGGUGACUGACGCUGAGACGCGAAAGCGUGGGGAGCAAACAGG
Molecule: ribosomal RNA, 253 nt
Filed under: uncultured bacterium
Lineage: Bacteria
Description: partial 16S ribosomal RNA
Rfam family: Bacterial small subunit ribosomal RNA
Source: RNAcentral